AAAAUACGAAAAGUAAUAUGAAUUGCAGAAACGAAUCAUCAACUAUUUGAACGCACAUUGCGCUCUUUGGGUUAAAAAACCAAGAGCAUGUCUAUUUGAGUAUCAUUAACUUAUUAAAUUCAAUCAAUUACUGAUUUGAGUUUUGAUCUUUUAAUAAUUGCUUUCGAAAUUGUCUUGUCCCCUUUAUAUCUCUCUCCCCAACUCUUAUCGAUAAGCUUUUAUUAACUUACAAAGAUUGCAACUCUAAAUAAUAAAAAACAGUUUGGCUUUUUAUUAUAUAUUGUAUAUGAAAAAAAGUGGUAUUGGAAAAUAUAAAAACUUUUUGGAAUGUAUGUAUUAUAUAAUAUUGGAUUCUUUUAGAAACCAAGAAAAGAAAAGGCCAUAACUUGUAUUUUCUUCCAUUCUAUUUUAUACUUUAUGAUCUCAAAUUAGACAAGAUUACCCGCUGAACUUAAGCAUAUCAAUAAGCGGAGGACUGACUC
Molecule: unclassified non-coding RNA, 482 nt
Filed under: plant metagenome
Description: partial contains internal transcribed spacer 2 and large subunit ribosomal RNA
Rfam family: 5.8S ribosomal RNA (bases 1-105)
Source: RNAcentral